CACGGGGGGAGCAAGCGUUGUUCGGAAUCACUGGGCGUAAAGGGCGUGUAGGCGGUCAGGUUAGUGAGAUGUGAAACGCCCCGGCUCACCCGGGGACCUGCAUCUCAAACUGCCUGGCUUGAGUAUGGGAGAGGAUGAGGGAAUUCCUGGUGUAGCGGUGAAAUGCGUAGAUAUCAGGAAGAACACCAAUGGCGAAAGCAGCUCUCUGGGACGGUACUGACGCUGAGACGCGAAAGCGUGGGGAGCAAACAGG
RNAcentral lists this ribosomal RNA (253 nucleotides) under uncultured bacterium. RNAcentral describes it as "partial 16S ribosomal RNA". It matches the Rfam family "Bacterial small subunit ribosomal RNA", at positions 524 to 776 of the family's 1533-position model. The record is from RNAcentral.